CUGAAGCCCAGAAUCCCAAAUUCUUCUACUCAUUCUUAUGUGGAAGAACAUGAGAAGUAGGUAAUGCACAAGUACAACAUGCCCCAAAGAACACUGCUCCUGUGAGUAACUCAACAAACCUUAAGAUGACCCUGGAUGUUUUGAGAGUAUGACUUGUGCACUUAAACCAUGACUCAUCAUGGCUUGCAGUCACACCCAAGCACAGGACAAGCUGAUGACUGGCCAGCCGCUGGAGAACAAGAGGAAAUCUCGAUAAGACACAACAGAUGAGUGAAGAUUGGCUCACUCUUCUUACUGGAUCAGUGCAGUGACAAACAAACCAGCAAGCACUCUGAUUUCUCGGUUGAGACUCCAGCUUGUGAGGAAAUAGUGAAUUCUUCAGUCUGUGUAUGAGAAGCAAGCCAUUAUGCCAUAAUGUAAUUCCCUGUUGUGUGGGAAGUCAGCAUUGCAUCAUCCCUAGCACUGGGAACAAGAGAUACGACCCCUUCUUGAUGGGUGCAAUCCAAGCUUUGGUAGUCAACCUUCACAUCAAAGUGUUAUUGAAGAAGACUGAUUACAGAAAUAGAGACAAAGAAAUACUAAGAAAAUGCACCUUACAAAUCUGAACCUAAAAGAUGUAAAAAUGAUCCAAGAAAAAGUGAAGUCUUCCUCUGAAAUGCAGCCACUCUCCUCUUAAAGAAACCUCAGCAUUCAGAAUCAUCUCUUCAGCUUGCAAACUAAUAAAGUAGCAAGAAUGUUUCAUCUGUUAUCAGUUUUAAUAAUGCCUUUUGAAAAAAAGUUAUUGAAAAGUUCUAGUUUGUUGUGAAAAUGAAACUGUUUGGUUCACUGGGCAGGGGUGGAAUCAGUCCUAGAACCCUCAGUCCUCUGACCUGUGUUAAUUUCUAACUUGCUUGCCAACGAAAGCAAAUAAAAUAAUUUCAUUGUAAUGAUAAUAA
Long non-coding RNA from Pogoniulus pusillus (Red-fronted tinkerbird), 935 nucleotides. RefSeq lists it as uncharacterized. The record is from RefSeq and is a predicted model, not a curated record. The transcript is spliced from 4 exons. NCBI's taxonomy places the organism in Eukaryota, Metazoa, Chordata, Aves, Piciformes, Lybiidae.